RNAcentral lists this ribosomal RNA (253 nucleotides) under uncultured bacterium. Its description in RNAcentral is "partial 16S ribosomal RNA". It matches the Rfam family "Bacterial small subunit ribosomal RNA", at positions 524 to 776 of the family's 1533-position model. The record is from RNAcentral.
UACGGAGGGUGCGAGCGUUAUCCGGAUUCACUGGGUUUAAAGGGUGCGUAGGUGGGCAGGUAAGUCAGUGGUGAAAUCUCCGGGCUUAACCCGGAAACUGCCAUUGAUACUAUCGGUCUUGAAUACCGUGGAGGUGAGCGGAAUGUGUCAUGUAGCGGUGAAAUGCUUAGAUAUGACAUAGAACACCAAUUGCGAAGGCAGCUCACUACACGAAUAUUGACACUGAGGCACGAAAGCGUGGGGAUCAAACAGG